RNAcentral lists this ribosomal RNA (460 nucleotides) under uncultured bacterium. Its description in RNAcentral is "partial 16S ribosomal RNA". It matches the Rfam family "Bacterial small subunit ribosomal RNA", at positions 338 to 795 of the family's 1533-position model. The record is from RNAcentral.
CCUACGGGCGGCAGCAGUGAGGAAUAUUGGUCAAUGGACGAGAGUCUGAACCAGCCAAGUAGCGUGAAGGAUGACUGCCCUAUGGGUUGUAAACUUCUUUUAUAUGGGAAUAAAAUGUUCCACGUGUGGGAUUUUGUAUGUACCAUAUGAAUAAGGAUCGGCUAACUCCGUGCCAGCAGCCGCGGUAAUACGGAGGAUCCGAGCGUUAUCCGGAUUUAUUGGGUUUAAAGGGAGCGUAGGUGGAUUGUUAAGUCAGUUGUGAAAGUUUGCGGCUCAACCGUAAAAUUGCAGUUGAAACUGGCAGUCUUGAGUACAGGAGAGGUGGGCGGAAUUCGUGGUGUAGCGGUGAAAUGCUUAGAUAUCACGAAGAACUUCGAUUGCGAAGGCAGUUCACUGGACUGCAACUGACACUGAGGCUCGAAAGUGUGGGUAUCAAACAGGAUUAGAUACCCGGGUAGUC